GUGGUAAUGCCGGAUGCUCCAUCACACCGCAUGGUGUGUUGGGAAAGCCUUUGCGGCAUGGGAUGGGGUCGCGUCCUAUCAGCUUGAUGGCGGGGUAACGGCCCACCAUGGCUUCGACGGGUAGCCGGCCUGAGAGGGCGACCGGCCACAUUGGGACUGAGAUACGGCCCAGACUCCUACGGGAGGCAGCAGUGGGGAAUAUUGCACAAUGGGCGCAAGCCUGAUGCAGCGACGCCGCGUGAGGGAUGGAGGCCUUCGGGUUGUAAACCUCUUUUGUUAGGGAGCAAGGCAUUUUGUGUUGAGUGUACCUUUCGAAUAAGCACCGGCUAACUACGUGCCAGCAGCCGCGGUAAUACGUAGGGUGCAAGCGUUAUCCGGAAUUAUUGGGCGUAAAGGGCUCGUAGGCGGUUCGUCGCGUCCGGUGUGAAAGUCCAUCGCUUAACGGUGGAUCCGCGCCGGGUACGGGCGGGCUUGAGUGCGGUAGGGGAGACUGGAAUUCCCGGUGUAACGGUGGAAUGUGUAGAUAUCG
Molecule: ribosomal RNA, 529 nt
Filed under: Bifidobacterium breve
Lineage: Bacteria; Bacillati; Actinomycetota; Actinomycetes; Bifidobacteriales; Bifidobacteriaceae
Description: bacterial SSU rRNA
Rfam family: Bacterial small subunit ribosomal RNA
Source: RNAcentral